AUGAUUCCAGAGGAAGCAAAACUAACUUUCUCGAAUUCACGACGGCAACUGGCACCUAAUGCACGCGAACUUGGAGAAAGCCACUUCUUGCACCAAACAUAUACCUCACGAACGCAACAUGAAGGCAAUGGUUACAAAGUUUUCAACACUAGGUUGAUAUUCAACAUGAAUCAUGGGGGAGACAAAAUGCUGCUGAUGGGCUCAACAGCAACUCAUCGGAAUUUCCAUAUCACUGGACUUCCACCAACAUGUGAACACGGUGAUAGCAUUGAUCAGACCAAAGGAUGUAAUGGUGUAUGCUCAAAGGAUCAACCACGAGUAAGACAACAUUACGAACAUCGUUGGUUCUGA
RNAcentral lists this ribosomal RNA (351 nucleotides) under Triticum aestivum (bread wheat). RNAcentral describes it as "partial small subunit ribosomal RNA". The record is from RNAcentral. Lineage: Eukaryota; Viridiplantae; Streptophyta; Magnoliopsida; Poales; Poaceae.